RNAcentral lists this long non-coding RNA (296 nucleotides) under Elaeis guineensis (African oil palm). RNAcentral's name for it is "long non-coding RNA (EGUI_LNC024004)". Lineage: Eukaryota; Viridiplantae; Streptophyta; Magnoliopsida; Arecales; Arecaceae. The record is from RNAcentral.
UUGCAUCGACGAAAACCUUUUAAAGAAUUUGCUUUUGGUUUUUGAGAACCUUGCUGGAUUCCUUUUGUGCUUUUGCUGCAGCCAGAAGGUGUUGGACGAUGUGGUUUCCAUACCUUCCAACUUUGAAAUCAAAAACAAGGGUUCAGUUUGACUAUACGCCGUUGAUCUGAUAGCCGUCGGCUCUUAUCUCUCUCCGGCACGCAUGUUAGGACCUCGCGACUUGGGACUUGUGGUUUCUUUCAUAAAAGAAAGCUUAGGUAUUGUCCGCUUGUACAACGCUGAAAAGUUCCUGGCCA